RNAcentral lists this ribosomal RNA (463 nucleotides) under uncultured bacterium. RNAcentral's name for it is "bacterial SSU rRNA". It matches the Rfam family "Bacterial small subunit ribosomal RNA", at positions 29 to 507 of the family's 1533-position model. The record is from RNAcentral.
AUGAACGCUAGCGGCAGGCCUAAUACAUGCAAGUCGAGCGGCAAGUCGAGGAGUAAUCUAAGACCUAGAGCGGCGCACGGGUGCGUAACGCGUAUGCAACCUACCUUAUACUGGGGGAUAGCCCGGAGAAAUCUGGAUUAAUACCCCAUGGCACAUAUUGAUGGCAUCUGAGAUAUGUUAAAGAUUUAUUGGUAUAAGAUGGGCAUGCGUCUGAUUAGCUAGUUGGCGGUGUAACGGACCACCAAGGCGACGAUCCAUAGCUGGUCUGAGAGGAUGAUCAGCCACACUGGGACUGAGACACGGCCCAGACUCCUACGGGAGGCAGCAGUGGGGAAUAUUGGACAAUGGGCGAAAGCCUGAUCCAGCAAUGCCGCGUGAGUGAUGAAGGCCUUAGGGUUGUAAAGCUCUUUUACCCGAGAUGAUAAUGACAGUAUCGGGAGAAUAAGCUCCGGCUAACUCCGUG